CUAGUGCGGUGAACAGUGUUUCGUAAUUUUGGUCAGACGCAAAGCAGAGCUCAUUAUUUCAAAAGAGAAAAUGGUCGCAGUCGUUAACAUGAUUAAGCGAUAUUGUCAUGUCGUCUUUUUUAUUAUGGCCCUUUUUACAGAUACAAGCUUUGGUUUGACAGAGUCCUAUCAGUGUUCACAGACCUGUUAUAGCCAACAGCGCUACACUGAAGCAUGUGGAUUCCUUAAUAUGGCCAGAUGUACAAGAUAUAGGCAAGUUUCUCAAGCUUGCUAUCACAGCUGCUACAGGUGCGUAACGGGAUGGACUGGAAGCGGCUGUAAUACGCGUA
Molecule: long non-coding RNA, 329 nt
Organism: Lingula anatina
Lineage: Eukaryota; Metazoa; Brachiopoda; Lingulata; Lingulida; Lingulidae
Source: RefSeq, a predicted model, not a curated record